GACGAACGCUGGCGGCGCGCUUAACACAUGCAAGUCGAACGGAAAGGCCUGCUUUCCCUUGUGGAUUGCGGGUACUCGAGUGGCGAACGGGUGAGUAACACGUGAGUGAUCUGCCCCCAACUUGGGUAUAAGCCUGGGAAACUGGGUCUAAUUCCCGAUAGGACUGCAGGGUGGUGCCUGUGGUGGAAAACGAUUUUCUAGUGGUUGGGGAUGAGCUCGCGGCCUAUCAGCUUGUUGGUGGGGUAAUGGCCUACCAAGGCGGCGACGGGUAGCCGGCCUGAGAGGGUGGACGGCCACAUUGGGACUGAGAUACGGCCCAGACUCCUACGGGAGGCAGCAGUGGGGAAUAUUGCACAAUGGGCGGAAGCCUGAGGCAGCGACGCCGCGUGGGGGAUGACGGCCUUCGGGUUGUAAACUCCUUUCGACCGCGAGGAAGCCACCUGGUUGGAAGGGUGGUGACGGUAGUGGUAGAAGAAGCACCGGCUAACUACGU
RNAcentral lists this ribosomal RNA (493 nucleotides) under uncultured bacterium. RNAcentral's name for it is "partial 16S ribosomal RNA". It matches the Rfam family "Bacterial small subunit ribosomal RNA", at positions 28 to 506 of the family's 1533-position model. The record is from RNAcentral.